UUGAGGAAUUUUCCGCAAUGGGCGAAAGCCUGACGGAGCAAUGCCGCGUGAAGGAUGAAGGCCUAUGGGUUGUAAACUUCUUUUCUCAGAAAAGAAUUAUGACGGUAUCUGAGGAAUAAGCAUCGGCUAACUCUGUGCCAGCAGCCGCGGUAAGAAAGAGGAUGCAAGCGUUAACCGGAAUGAUUGGGCGUAAAGCGUCUGUAGGUUGUUUAAAAAGUAUUCUGUCAAAGAUUAGGGCUUAACCCUAGAUAGGCAGAAUAAACUUUUAAGCUAGAGUUUGGUAGAGGCAGAGGGAAUUCCCGGUGGAGCGGUGAAAUGCGUAGAUAUCGGGAAGAACACCAAAGGCGAAGGCACUCUGCUGGGCCAAUACUAACACUGAGAGACGAAAGCGAGGGGAGCAAAUGGGAUUAGAAACCCUGGUAGUCC
Molecule: ribosomal RNA, 426 nt
Filed under: uncultured bacterium
Lineage: Bacteria
Description: partial 16S ribosomal RNA
Rfam family: Bacterial small subunit ribosomal RNA
Source: RNAcentral